Molecule: ribosomal RNA, 252 nt
Filed under: uncultured bacterium
Lineage: Bacteria
Description: partial 16S ribosomal RNA
Rfam family: Bacterial small subunit ribosomal RNA
Source: RNAcentral
UACGAAGGGGGCGAGCGUUGUUCGGAUUUACUGGGCGUAAAGGGCGCGCAGGCGGCCGUGUUUGUCAGGCGUGAAAGCCCCGGGCUCAACCUGGGAAUGGCGCCUGGGACGGCAUGGCUAGAGAUCGGGAGAGGAGCGUGGAAUUCCAGUGUAGAGGUGAAAUUCGUAGAUAUUCGCAAGAACACCAGUGGCGAAGGCGGCUCACUGGCCCGAUACUGACGCUGAGGCACGAAAGCGUGGGGAGCAAACAGG